GCAAGUAGAGGCGCGGCAAACAUCAGUACCGGAAAGCAAUGCCAGACAGCAGCUUUGCGGGAAAGGGAAUGCCGCCGAAGGGUCGAAGGCGUGUCUGCGCCGCGAUGCCUGGGCCGGUGGAGAAGAUCUGCCGGACUGCCGCAUGUUUUUGCGGAGAGCUAUGA
This 164-nucleotide non-coding RNA is filed under the name uncultured Faecousia sp. RNAcentral's name for it is "Lysine riboswitch". It matches the Rfam family "Lysine riboswitch aptamer". Rfam says of the family: Riboswitches are metabolite binding domains within certain messenger RNAs that serve as precision sensors for their corresponding targets. Lineage: Bacteria; Bacillati; Bacillota; Clostridia; Eubacteriales; Oscillospiraceae. The record is from RNAcentral.